Molecule: ribosomal RNA, 466 nt
Filed under: uncultured bacterium
Lineage: Bacteria
Description: partial 16S ribosomal RNA
Rfam family: Bacterial small subunit ribosomal RNA
Source: RNAcentral
GAUGAACGCUGGCGGCGUGCUUAACACAUGCCAGUCGAACGAUGAAGCCCAGCUUGCUGGGUGGAUUAGUGGCGAACGGGUGAGUAACACGUGAGUAACCUGCCCUUAACUCUGGGAUAAGCCUGGGAAACUGGGUCUAAUACCGGAUAGGAGCGUCCACCGCAUGGUGGGUGUUGGAAAGAUUCAUCGGUUUUGGAUGGACUCGCGGCCUAUCAGCUUGUUGGUGAGGUAAUGGCUCACCAAGGCGACGACGGGUAGCCGGCCUGAGAGGGUGACCGGCCACACUGGGACUGAGACACGGCCCAGACUCCUACGGGAGGCAGCAGUGGGGAAUAUUGCACAAUGGGCGCAAGCCUGAUGCAGCGACGCCGCGUGAGGGAUGACGGCCUUCGGGUUGUAAACCUCUUUCAGUAGGGAAGAAGCGAAAGUGACGGUACCUGCAGAAGAAGCACCGGCUAACUACGUG